RNAcentral lists this ribosomal RNA (435 nucleotides) under uncultured bacterium. Its description in RNAcentral is "bacterial SSU rRNA". It matches the Rfam family "Bacterial small subunit ribosomal RNA", at positions 29 to 506 of the family's 1533-position model. The record is from RNAcentral.
GUGAACGCUGGCGGCGUGCAUUAAGCAUGCAAGUAGAACGAGCUCGGCUUGCCGAGUUAGUUGCGAACGGCUGAGUAACGCGUAGGUAUCUACCUUUUGGUGGGGAAUACCCACGGGAAACCGUGGUUAAUACCGCAUAAGAUCUCCGGAUGAAAGGGCAUAACUGCCCGCCGAAAGAGGAGCCUGCGUCCCAUCAGCUUGUUGGUGGGGUAAUGGCCUACCAAGGCUACGACGGGUAGGGGGCGUGAGAGCGUGGCCCCCCAGAAUGGGACUGAGACACGGCCCAUACACCUACGGGUGGCAGCAACUGGGAAUCGUACGCAAUGGGCGAAAGCCUGACGUCGCGACGCCGCGUGUGGGAUGAAGGCCUUCGGGUCGUAAACCACUUUUAUAAAUGUCGAGAGGCAUUUUUGAAUAAGCACCCGCUAACCACGU